This 445-nucleotide ribosomal RNA is filed under the name Diaporthe batatas. RNAcentral describes it as "partial 28S ribosomal RNA". Lineage: Eukaryota; Fungi; Ascomycota; Sordariomycetes; Diaporthales; Diaporthaceae. The record is from RNAcentral.
UGACCUCGGAUCAGGUAGGAAUACCCGCUGAACUUAAGCAUAUCAAUAGGCCGGAGGAGAAUUUUUUUUGGAACGCGUCUUGCGACAACAAAACCCUUUGUCAACUUAUAGUGUGAGUGCCUCAGAGCAGGGGUCUUUGUACUAACGUCCCGUAUACAUCGUUUAAGCGCGGACUACCACGCUAUCUUUUCCUGUGUGAACCCCUCGCUUGCACAUCACACAUCAGUCUAUGACUUUGCCACCGGCGUAUCUCCUGGGGUACUGCGUUCGAUCUAAAAAACACGUGCACACUGCACUAAGUAUCGAUCAUCUGCUACAGAUUCGGGGAAGCAGCUAACAUUGCAGAGCGAUGCCCCUCCGCGGUACUCUGCCAGCGUGCUGUAGACGCUGCAUGUCACUUCCCUUGUGAGUCAUUAGGCUACGCUCCUCCGGUGCGGCGGCCUGA